UACGUAGGGGGCGAGCGUUGUCCGGAUUUACUGGGCGUAAAGGGCGUGCAGGCGGCUUGUUAAGUGCAGGGUGAAAGCUCCCGGCUCAACUGGGAGAGGUCCUUGCAUACUGGCGAACUCGAGGGAGGCAGAGGAAAGUGGAAUUCCCGGUGUAGUGGUGAUAUGCGUAGAUAUCGGGAGGAACACCUGUGGCGAAGGCGGCUUUCUGGGCCUUGCCUGACGCUGAGACGCGAAAGCGUGGGGAGCGAACCGG
Molecule: ribosomal RNA, 253 nt
Filed under: uncultured bacterium
Lineage: Bacteria
Description: partial 16S ribosomal RNA
Rfam family: Bacterial small subunit ribosomal RNA
Source: RNAcentral